Molecule: ribosomal RNA, 497 nt
Filed under: uncultured bacterium
Lineage: Bacteria
Description: partial 16S ribosomal RNA
Rfam family: Bacterial small subunit ribosomal RNA
Source: RNAcentral
GAUGAACGCUGGCGGCGUGCCUAAUACAUGCAAGUCGAGCGAACAGACGAGGAGCUUGCUCCUCUUACGUUAGCGGCGGACUGGUGAGUAACACGUGGAUAACCUACCUAUAAGACUUGGAUAACUUCGGGAAACCGGAGCUAAUACCGGAUAAUAUAUUGAACCGCAUGGUUCAAUAGUUAAAUACGGUUUUGCUGUCACUUAUAGAUGGAUCCGCGCCGCAUUAGCUAGUUGGUAAGGUAACGGCUUACCAAGGCAACGAUGCGUAGCCGACCUGAGAGGGUGAUCGGCCACACUGGAACUGAGACACGGUCCAGACUCCUACGGGAGGCAGCAGUAGGGAAUCUUCCGCAAUGGGCGAAAGCUUGACGGAGCAACGCCGCGUGAGUGAUGAAGGUCUUCGGAUCGUAAAACUCUGUUAUUAGGGAAGAACAAAUGUGUAAGUAACUAUGCACGUCUUGACGGUACCUAAUCAGAAAGCCACGGCUAACUACGUG